This is a non-coding RNA of Hydra vulgaris (swiftwater hydra), 717 nucleotides long. The record is from RefSeq and is a predicted model, not a curated record. Lineage: Eukaryota; Metazoa; Cnidaria; Hydrozoa; Anthoathecata; Hydridae.
GUUAUAUAACAUAAUUAUCACAUUGCAUGGAAAAGUAAAAAAAAGUAAAAGUAGCAUCUGAAAGUUUCUGUUCUCUUGGCUACCAGUUUUUGGCAAUUUAUUAAAUUAUUUAUAGGUAAAACUUUAAUUUUACACAAUGUCUCAGCAUUCAGAAAAAUAGUGUAUUGACGCUAGCACAACAAAUAUUGGUCUUUGCACAUCUUCUUUAAACAAAUUUGUAUGGAAUAUGGCUAACACAAGAGUAUUAUUAGAUUUAUGGAAAGAUAAUUACAAAGCAUUAACAUCUGCUAGAAGAAGCACCAAUAUUUACUAACUAAUGGCAGCUGAAUUUUCAAACACAUUUAACAUCGUACCUCCGUUAACUGGAUAUCAAAUUCAAUCUAAAAUUAGUAAUUUGAGGAAACAAUUUAGAUGAGAAAAACUUCAAGUUGGUUCAUUGGGAGGAGCUCCUAGUAAAUGGUGGCCUUACGAUAUUGUUGCCAAAAUAAUAGGUGGUGAAGCUUUCCUUGACAAAGACCUUUUAUCUCAAAGUCAAAACUUUUCUACUCAAGAUUUUCAAGAUGGUCAGAUUGCCACAAUGGAAGAUGGCAAGGUAUUUUAAAUAUUGAAGCUUUGGAUGAUACAAGUGAUGUGCAAUCAAUUGUCACUAUUCCUGAUGAGGAACCAACUCAAACUACAUCUGGCUGCAAUAAACGGAGGAACUCUGAUGAUGAAAAA